Molecule: long non-coding RNA, 212 nt
Filed under: Manacus vitellinus (golden-collared manakin)
Lineage: Eukaryota; Metazoa; Chordata; Aves; Passeriformes; Pipridae
Description: lncRNA (ENSMVIG00005016116.1)
Source: RNAcentral
GACAGAAUUUGGACAGGAAACUAAAUCCACUUAUGAAAUGUUUCCUUUCUGCUUCUAAUUCUCAGGUGUCCUACAUUAGUCAAGACUGUGAAGAAAUUCCAGAAUUCCUAGGACGAAAAUAUGGACAUAUGGCAAAAAGGCUAGAUCUUAGCUUCAACUUGUUAAGUUCUUCUCAAAUCAUUCCUGUGCUGCCUGACUGCUACCUUGGAUGA